Molecule: non-coding RNA, 14812 nt
Organism: Microcebus murinus (gray mouse lemur)
Lineage: Eukaryota; Metazoa; Chordata; Mammalia; Primates; Cheirogaleidae
Source: RefSeq, a predicted model, not a curated record
UUUUGGCUCCUAACAUAGAUUUUUUUUUCUAUUAUCCUUUCCUCUAGACCCAUUGGAUACAAAACUUUUGUUAAUUUAGCACAAAUUAUACUAUUUAAAUGAUCUAGAUAAAUGAACAUUAAGAAAAUAUCACUUAAAAUAUAUAAGAUUUCAGCAAAUAGCAGGAACAUUUAGUGACCAGGAAGGGAAGGAAAGCCUACAAGUUGCAGGAAGCUUGAGGAGUUACCACGUUUGGCAAGUCAAUAAUAGCUAGACAAGAUUGGUUUCUGAUAGUUGCCUUGAUGAAUGUAUCUUUCUCAAACACAGAUGCAGGGAACAGAGGAAGUCAAACAACAAAAAAAUAGUGUUUAAAAAAACUGCUUUGGCUUUAUGUAAGGCCUAAAACCUCAUAUACUUUUAAUGGCUAAGCAUUCUAUCCAACUUAACCACCCGGUGCUAUUUUCUGGAUUCAUUUCCCAAGAGUUUAAUUUGUGUGCAUAAGAAAAAUUUCCUUCACUGAAGUAUAUAAUUUGGGGUAAGAAUCAGUUAUAACUGAUAUUUUGCUCAAAUUUAUAAACUUAAAUUGUUUCUGGGACUAUAAAAGGUCUUGAUAUUAAUAGCAUCUACUAGAAUAUUCAGACCAAGCAAAAUCUGGAUGCAUUGAGCUUGAUACCAGUUUGUUCUCUAAAAUCAAACUUGACUGAAAUCAUGUGUAUUUCUUUUAUGUAUGUACAGUAGAUUGUGCAAUUAGGGCACAUUUAUGUCCAGCUCAUUAUGCCUUCCUGCAUUGUCUUUCCUUUCUGUGUGAUAAUGAAUCGUUUUGUAAUUAAAUAGCAGGAGAAGAAAAUAUGCAAUAAUUAUGAUAUAGUCCGGGCAGCAAGUAUCUUGGUAAGACUCUACUAUUUUAAUUUGCAUGAUAGGAACUGGUUUAAUCCUGCCUUAAUUUUUUAAAGAGUUUUUAUAUAUGCAGAUCAAGCAGAAACUCUUAUUUGGACUUAGUAAUAGAGCUCCUGUCAGCUUAGAAUCAUAUUUAAACUAGAACAUUCAGAUAUUUGGUUGAAGUGAGUCAGUACUCUCUAUGUUCCAGCAGGAGGUUGGAGGCUGUUGCAUGUGCAUGACAUGGAUGUAUGUACAAAUGACCACCCCAAAACAUAAGCAUAUGAGCAGAUGCAUCAACAUACAUAUAUGCAAUUAUAUACAUGUUCUUUCAUUCAUUUAGUAAAUAUUCAUUUAGUAUUAAUAUCUGAUAUCUGUCCAGUGUUCCAGACAUGUAGGUAUAAUAGCAAAACAGGAAAAGUUCCUGACUUUUUGAAGCUUACUUACAUUCUAGUGAGAAAGAAUAAAAUAAACAAAAAUGUUUAUAAUGUCAUAUAUAUUCAUACCACACACAGACACAUAUAUGUACAUAUGUGAAUAUACUCACCUUUCAUUCCACUCUAUAUGUACAUACACAGUUGCACCUGUUCAGGUCAGUUUAAAAGAGUGGAACAUUUUUCCAAAGUUAAAUGUGCUCUAGAAUUGGUUGGGUCAGGCUGUGGCACCAAGAAAAAUUGCUUGUGGAGUCCUUGAUCUUUGGUCACUCACUCUCAUUGUAUCAUGGAAUUGUGAGGACUAAAUGUUAUCACAAAAGUGAAAUUAUGAUACCAUCUAUCCUGGCAUAUUACUCAAAAGACUUGACAUUCUUUGAUUGUCAUAUUUAGGGUAAUGUAAUUGGGUUAGAGCACUGCAAAGGUUUUCUUCUUCUUCACUGUCACUAGAUUGGGAGCGAAAACAGGCUUCUAAUUUGCUCCCUGCAGUUUACUGGCUGUAUGAUUUGGGCACAUCACUGUAUCUGCUGGGGCCUCAUUUUCCUCCUCUGUAAGAUGAACUGGUAGAAUCAGAAUAGCCUCUAAAAUUUCUUCAGGCUGUAAUACCCUUUGCCUCUGACUGGAAUCAUUCACCUUGGUAUCUCACUGUUCAGAGAGCAUAUAACAUCAUGCCCUCUCUACAUCUCAUAUUCUCAAGAACAUUACCCUGUACAGAAUAUGCUAUAGCCAAACUUGUCAACAGACUCGCACCAGCAAAGAAUCCAUCUGACUUCCCUUCUGUUGUUGUCUGUCACCAGCCUGGACAAAGCAUAUGAUUCAAAUAUGGAAACUAAGGUUUAGUGUGACAGUUCUCAGAAAGGUUUUUCCCAACACCAUGACCAUGAGAGAUUCCCCCUGCUACAUGCUCCUGAAUUACCCUGGGCUUAUUUUCUGCAGUUCUUACCACAGUGUCAAUUAUGUAAUUAUUGUGCUGUUUUUAUUUAUUGCCAGUCUCCCUUACUGUACAUUUUAUAGGAAACAGAAUUUGUCUUAUUUUGCCACUGUAUCAACAACACCUAAAAUAGUGUCAGGAAAAUAGAACAUACUCAAAGGUUGUGUUUAAAAAGAAAUGAAUAACUCCAAAAUAAUCUGAUUUCUCAGUGUGGCAAUGAUCAGGCAGCUCUUCUGUAGGAAAGCUUCCCUGGUCACCCUUCAUGGCUUUGCCCUUGGCCUUUGGUAUUUUUCCUUAACAGAGCCAAUAGUGCAGCUGCUCCUUGGCAGGCCUGUUUUCCUGCUAGCAUUUGUUUCCCAGAAAGCUGUAUCAUUGCCACAUAGCUUCAAAUAGAUCACUGGGACAACCACAGUAUCACACAUUCUGCCAGCCUGUUCUGUUCCUGCUGUUCCAUGUUGACUCUGUCCUUACAGAUUCUGGCUCACAGAAAUUGCCUGUGAGUACAAUUCUCUUCAGUGCUUAUAGUGUGUAUCUUAUAGCAUCCUUUCUUUGAGAGUUUGCCAUUGUGUGCCAUUUCACACUGGUCAACAGGUGGACUCAAUUUAUAUAUCUCCAGAACGUAAAGCUAAGAUGGCAGAGACAUUUGUCCCAACCUCAUGCUGCCUUUUUAUUAGUAGUUUCCAGCUUCUUUAUUAUGCAGUCAUUUACAAAUAUACUGCUGAACUAGGGCCUGUGGAUGGCUAAGGAUUAAGAGCCAUCUUCCAUGAUACCAGAUCUAGAUAAUAGAGGAAAGAUAAAAAUUCCAGUCCCGGUGCUAGGCAUCUCAGCUUGUUUAUUCACCUUAAAAAACCACCUUACCUAUGAUCAAUGGGUGCAAAAAAAAAAAAAAUCUCACAGCUAGCUUAUAGAAGAUACUUGCAUCUAAGUCUGUCUGAUUCUAAACAUAUGAAUGACAUUCCUCCCAUGAAUAAGUCUUAGUGAUAGUGUUGAUUUGAAUUUGCCACAUCCCUUUUAGCUCCAAUGUGUCAAACUGGUGAGUAAUGUGCUAAUUCAGUAGAAUGAGUAUCACAAAGCAGCUGGUCAUUUGCCAACUUCUUGGAUAUCUCUCAAAACUCCAGCCAAAAAAAAAAAAAAACCAAAAACUAAAAGCCAUUCCUCUGUAUAGUCAUAUGUGGGAAAGAGUUGGAGAGAGCCACAGGUCAUAAUUUUCACUCCUUGGAAGUAAUUAGGAUUCUGUAGGUUAAAACCAAUAAACAGUCCAAACAGUUAAUUGCCAGGUGUCUUGUAGGUUCUGUAUUUAUUCUCAUGGCAUCAAUACAAUGGGCUUUUAUAAAUAUGCCAGUGGUUAAUACCUUUCUUUUGAAUUUUUGUUGUAUCUUUAACCAUAUUCCUUUUGUUGUCAUUUAUAUUCUAAUUUUUAUUAGAGAGGAAAUCAAGUGUGUUUGCUGAAAGAUCAGACUUUUAUUCUUCUGUGAUAUUGGGAGGAAUGUUUCAGAAACAGCGCCACUCUCUAGUCAGAUCCUUUCCAGAUAUUAGUGUCUAUACAAUGAUGAAAGUCCUCUUUGGUCUCAGAGUGCUAUAUAAAAUAGUCACUGAAACCCGAAGUUCUUCCAUGGCCUUUUGAUUCAAUGUUCUAUUUACAGAAAAUUGGUAGUUCACCUAUGAGUCUGGGAAGAACAUUUAAAUAAAUUGUAAUUCAUAGCAUAGACCAAAAUUCUUCUAAAAUUUUUCCCUCAAAUCCCAUACAAUAGGGAAAUAUACUGGGGCAACUUUGAAUAUAAGUCUAGAAAGUUAUUUUAUUAAUAUUAUUAAACAUAUGCAUGCACAAUUAGUUAUUAGUGUUCCUUUGUUGCUAUAGUUUUCCUCACUCAAAAUAGAACUGGCUUUUGGUUAAGUGAGAGGAUGUUUACGAUAUUCAAAGAAUAUUACAAAUUUGACCUAGAUUAAAUAUGUCAAUAUUUACACUGCAUCAGGAUAUUUACCCAGAUGAUAAUAAAUUUGUAUCUUUUCUUAGUUUUGACAUAAGGCUUUAUUUCAAAUGGAUACUGGAGAUACAGAUAUAUAGAAAUACUUAUAAGAAUACUCUAAUUCUUACCCCUCUGCAAAUCUUCCUUUAGUCUAUCACAUACACAAAUCUACUCAAACACCUGCAAACAGUUGCUGCAUGUAGGCACAAAAGCUUCUACAAAACACAUGCAGUCUGUCUUGUACACUUGUAAAUUAUAGUGAAAUGUUGGUGGUUGAGAGUAGCUCAUGUUAACCUGUAGGCUUUCCUUUGUAAACAUUUGGAAAUUUUUUUGCAAUCUUUAAUUAAUAUAAAUGGUUUUCUUGAAGAAAAAGAUAUUUAUUUUUAAGGUUAAAUUAUAUGAUAGUCACUUAUAAUGGCAUUAAAUAUUGAUAGUGGUAUAAUGGUUUUAAAGUAACUUAUAAUUUCAAUUAAAAAAUAAGGUAACAUUUAUAGAGUGAUGGCUACUUGCCAGGUAGUCACUGUGCUAACUAAUUUGUAUGCAUUAUCACUUUUACUCUCAUAUAGUUGAGUGGCAGUUAUAGUCCUUAUCUCCAUUUUAUAAAUGUACAAACUUAGAUAAAGUGAGUAACUUCUAAGUAUCGGCACCAAGAUGUGAUCCUGCGUAAGUUUCCUCUGGAAUCUCUAUUAUUAACCACUGUGUUAAACCAUCCUUUAAACAACAACUAUAACACAGAGAUGUAUGUGGACCAACUAUUAUAAUAUCUUAACUUAUAUAUCAGAAAAGUAAAAUCUAGAGAUUGGGUUAGAGUCACAUGCCUAAGGUUACCAGAUGGGAUAGAAUCUAAGCCUCUGCCUGUCAAGACAGUGCUGUUUGUACAAGGCAGUAAUACCUUUUGGCCUCUGAUGUCAGCUAUAACCAUAUGACUUUACAUAGAUCAUGCAUUUCUUCUCCUUGGGGCAAAAGUGUGAUUCCUAAAUUAUACACUAUACACAAAGUCUCUGCUAUUCCAGUGCUCUAAGAGGCUUGACAUAUACUUUAUGGACCUUCCCAUAAAGGUGAAAAGUAAGGAUCACCUUUUUUGCCUUCUGUAUCUGACUUAGCUCACCUUGUCUGUCUUCUGCAGCUCUGUCAGCCCUAACCUUGGUCAUUCCAGGGCAAUGUCCUCUUCAUUCUACCGUAAAAAUGACAUUGCUUCCACUCCAUAAUGAUUGGGAGUCAGAGCUUUCAGGUGAAACCAUGGCAACCAAAAGGAUUAAUUUCUGCCGUGUCUCAAUAGCACAAUCAUAUUAUCUCUCAACAGUCUAAAAGAUAACUCACACACAUCUCCGCUGUAUAAUAACAUAAAGAUAAAAUAACAACCUGGAAACCAAAUGUAACCUUCCCAAAUACAUAGAAAUGAAGGGAUUUGAUACUGGACAAUUCUAAGAAUAUACUGUGUGUGCAGAGUUAUAAAACAAUAAUUAAUGCAGUCUUUAGAAAGGGCCAUUACAAAUGGUUCCUUCUCAUAACGCAGUUUCCUCAAUACCUUGUUUUAAUAGAAUUUCAUUCUGUCCUGGCCAAAAUUACAAUUACUAAAGAAGUAAAAUCUUGUUUUACAUGAUACCUCCUUUUCCACAUAACUGGUGAAAAUGUCUGUCGUGGUGAACUUCUCUUCACCUCUGUUUUAUGUACAAUUAAAACUAUCCUUUUGCUAAGGCCAUUCCCCACAGGAAUGCGAUAGCCCACAAUGAUGUAUUCUGCCAUUAACUCUGGAGUGCUCACUCGAUUCUCCACAUAAUAAGACACACAGGAGAGUCUCACUGAGGACCUUUACUGUCACUCAUCAGGAAAACCCACUUGGCACCUCAUGAAGAAUAUUUCAGUGCUCACAGGUUGAUGACUAAGACGGCAGAACAGCAGCUCAAAUCUGAUCCAUGUGAAAACAACAAAGUUCUUGAAAGCUAAGCAAUCUCUGGUUAAAACACUGUGUUAACAGAGUAGGGAUUUACAAGUUCAAGAUUCUUAUUUAACUGUGUAAUUCUGUUAUGAUAACAUCUUCUGAACUAUUAAGAAUUGUCCCUCCAUAGUGUCAAGUCUUAUAUGGAAGUAAACAGCUGCCUUUGUUGUUGGCUUGGAACAUGAGAACAAGAUUAAAAAAUCGUGUGUGUGAACCCUUUUUUCCAUGCAAAAUCUAUCACUAUACAAGUCUCCAGGAAUUAGCAUUAAUUGAAUUUGCCUCUCUUCCAGUUUUGGUGACAGAAGCCACUCACUUACUAGAUACCUCUAAUAAAAAGACCCUGUUAUUUGGGAAAGCUACCAGUAGUGAAGAGUUGUAAGAUCCCUUGCAAAGGAAUGUCUCAUUUAGGUAAUUAUAGAUACAAUGAAAGUGAAUAGGGAAUUUCUUCUAAAAGGUGAGCUAAUGGAAUGCUAAUACAUCCUAGCAUAGUAUCUCCCCCAUCUCUACUCCUUAUUAGCCAUGUGACUAUGAACAAAAUAUUAAACCUCUAUGUGUUCCAUUAUCUCAUUUGUCAAAGGGGAAUUAAUAAUGGUAUCUACUUCAUAGAGUUGUUGGGAGUAGAAAAUGAGUUAAUAUAUGUAAAACAUUUAGUUCUGUUUCUGGUACAUAGUAAGAGUUUGCUAAUUUCCACAAUUCUAAUUAAUAUAGCAGUAAUAAUUACUGUUGUUAUAAUAGCUGUUCAAUAAGUAGUCUCUGAAAUAUUGAAUCAAUGAUCUCUGAACAGUAUAAAGAAAUCUAUAGCAGAUUUACUUUGUUCAGUUUCAACCAUUAUUCAGACUCUAUUUUCUAAGUAAUAAAAUAUCAUUUUCUUUAAAAAAAACAGUUAUAUUGAGCUAGCAUGAUCAUUCUGAUGUGUUUAGAGAUAUAAGGGGGGCAAAGUUAGUUAUUUUCCAGCAACCAAUAUGACUCCUAAAUAAUUACCGUAAAACAUAGUAUGUUCGCCAUUUAUUAAUUGGAAAAAAACAAUGUCUAUAUUCUAGGUAAAAUUUUGUUAUUUAUGUAGUUUCCUCCAUUCAUACGAUCCUCCAUCUUUGCAUAUACUGGUAUGGUUAAAUUCUCCCUUAAUUCUAACACUCUACUGAAUUUUCUCUUCAUUGAAUCAGAUAAAAUAUUUUUUCAUUCACUUCUGUAAGUAAUAAAAAAAAAAAAACUACUACUGAUAUUCUCACUGGGUUGUUUAUAUAAAAUACAGUGUCUUUAUUCCUCCCAACAACCCUACAAAGUAGGAGCUAUUAUCUACUGAUAAAUGAAGACACUGGAGAUUGGAGAGGUUCAUAAAUCUGAUCCAUGUUUUAUGAAGAUCCUUUCUAACUCACCAAACCAUCUCAUAUCAAGGAAUCUAGCUGACUGUCAUUAUCCACCACCUUCAGUGCCAGCUUUUCCCAGUCUCAGUGUUGUGAUCUCACUCUGGUUUCUUUUCUGCUUCCUGUCUAUAUAGCUCUGUGUGUGACCCCCUAGUUUUUUAUGAUCUGAAUCUUCAACUCAACCAACUUCACUAUUCCCAAUUCAUAUUUUACAUCAUUAGGGAUUCUGCUUUAUCUUGGCUUAUGUGGGAAAAGAAAACACCUUAUAUUGACUGUGAAGCUAAAAUUAUGGAGUAGGUCCUGUGUCUAACAUAUUUUUUUCAUGCACUAAAUGCUGGUAUUCUUUUAAAAGGCUUUAUAUGAGACAAUGUGGCUUUACAUAAGCAAUUUAGCUGUACAUAAGCAAGCACAAUGAAGAGCUUGGUUCAAUGGGAUAGCUAUUUGUUUCUACCAUCCUUUCACUGAGAUGAAGUUGUAGUUGUAUGCCACCCAUCGUUUAGAAUGGGUUCUCAAAUCAGCAUUAGACAGUCACAACAAUGGAAGCCAAACAGUUGACGAAAUUGAAGUUCAAAUGUCCAAAUUAUUGAACAUAGAAAACUCUGUCCACUGUCCCACUAAAAUGAAUAAAUAUUCUGAUUAAGCUUCUACAUUCAAGCCAUUUUAUGCUUUCCUUUCUCUUUUUAAAUUUUAAACCCUUUUAUUUUAUUGACAUUUUAAGCAUAUUGAGAUUUAUUAUGUAGAAUGAAUAACUUGAACAUAAAUUUUAAUUAUUUUGAAGGAGCAUUUUUUUAAUUUAAAAGCAUAAUAGUCAUAAUAAGAGAUUAUUGCCAGCAUACCAAAAGAGUGUCCAUUAAAGCAUCAUUGUUCUGAUAUAAUUUUUAUUCUAAAAUUUUGUUAUUUUUUUAUAAAUAAUGGAAUUUUGAGAUAAGAAUUGAAGUCCCUAAUAUUUUAAACCCUAUAUUAUAUGGUCUAUAAGCUUCACAAGGCCAACCAUUUUUAACUGUUUUAUUAGCAACUAUAAUCUCAGCACCUAGAAUAUUGUUUAACACAUAUAAAGAACUUAAAUAUUAAUUGUGAAUAUAUUCAUUCUUAUCCUUGGACAUGGAAAAUAGGAAAAUUCUCACGUUUUUAAGCAAUCUAAUGCUGACUUGCUUUAGAAAGGUUCCACUUCUCAUUAACACAGAAUCACACUGCCUGAUGGAUGACUGGACUCUUGAAUUUUUAAUUAUAGAUUGUUAUGGAACUAAUUCUCUUGCCAUUUGAGAGCGUCUCUCUUCAAAAGUAUAUUCUCCCAUCCCAGAUCUGUUGUAACCUAGGCCAUGAUCCUUGUCAGCCAUCCUGAACAUUUUGCAUGGUCCGUUGGCCCAGACAUGUCUGAAAAGGGCCAAAAGAAUUGGCUCUUCAGAUUGGGGCACCUACAGACUUUAGUCCGCCACAAAAAUGAUCCCAGUAAUGUUGUUUGGAAUGGUCAUUUUUUAACUGAUGGUAAACUAGUGUUUCAUUAUUCAAACCAAUAGCUAACCUAAAAGGGAGGGCAUGUGAGUGAGUUCACUGUUCAGUGGUAUUGGUAAUUGCCACUGCCUUAUCAGUAAAGGAGCAAGAGUCCCAAAAAGCUUGGCAGAUUUUUGUUAAGGUGUUUUUCUGUUUUGUUUUGUUUGUUUGUUUUAUGUUUUUUGCUUUGCAACAUCUCUUGAAUGUCAGGGGAACAUAGCUGAGCAAAGGAGUUUCCCAGAAACAAGAUUUUGCAUGAAGAUCUCUGUAUUUACCUUUCACAGCCACACUCACUGUGCUAAGUUUUAAACGUCUUGUCUGGUUUUCUUACUAUUAUAGAAUUUUCUUAUCAACUAGGUUGAAGAGUGGAUUACCACUGUGAAAUAAGGGCUGAAUUAAGUCUCUCAGGCCACUACUUUAUUAGAGUUCUUCAAAAAUGCAAUGUUUUUCUGAUAUUUGCAUUCUCUCUCAUUAAAAAUUGUCCAUAUCCUUUAGGAUUGCCAAUGUUGGUAUUUAAUCUUUGUAUUCCAGGCUAUUUUAUUAUCACUAUCAUUUAAUGCUUGAAAAAAAAAAAUAGUUCUAUGAACAAGAUAAGUUAAAAUGGAAAUCUUAAAUAAAAGCAUAUACAUGAUUUAAAAUGCCAUAGAAUUUAUUUGUUAGAUACUUGCUGGAAAAUUAUACUGAUAUGCUACUGACACAAUUAUCCUUUAAUUAUGUCUGAGAUAUAGCCAGCAGUGCCUUGCAGACACACAAAUAUAUUACAGAAAUUAUUGAGCCUACUACCUCUAGUCCUGUCACAAGUCCAGGUCAGUAUCCACAUACAUUCACAAAGUAUGUUUGGGUACUUUUUCCAUUAAACAAGACCUUCACAUCAUCAUAAAAAUAAACUGAGUUGAUUAUGGGCCGUAUGCUCACGGCACUGCUUUAAUGUCUGUUUCUUGUCCUCGUCUAUCUGUGGUGUGUCCUCCCUUUGGAUUUUGUGAUCUGACCCUGAUUUGAAGUUAACAUCUUUGACUUCCUUCUGUGGGAUGUAUGGAGUAAAUAUAUGUCACAUUGUAGAAUAGCUGCAAGGUGAUUAGCUUCUCCAAUACCUUUGCAAACAGAGCUGUAGAGAGUUUACAAGGUUUUCUGAGUAGCUAUUAAAAAACGAUUUGCUUUGGCUUGGUAUUACAUUAUUAUAAAAUCAUUAUGAAGCAAGAGGCAUUUAGUGCUUUUAAAGGGAACAAUAGCUAGGGGAAAGCCUAUACUUUUACUCUUGCAAUAUUAUAGUCGGAGAUUUUGGUCUCUUGAAACUGUCAAGUCAGAGGACUUAUUUCAGUUGUUGAGCUUUAUUUUCAGAUUGUUCUUAAUUCAACCACAAAUACUCAGUCUGAAAAGAUAGGACAUUGCUAUAAGUGUUUUUCUAAAAGUUGUUUUCAACUGUGAACAUUUCUGAGUGACAUGAAAUCGAGAUAAAAGCUAUUGAUAUUAGAAACAACCUUUAUCUUGUUAUAUAGGAAUUUAGCAGUUCAUUUUGAAUGUUGGCUGCUGGCUAUUUAAAGAAGAAAGUGGAACUGCUAAAGUUAUUUAGCUUUGAAAAGUUCACAGGGAUUUCUUGUAACUGCUGAGUUAAAGGAUUUGUUGAUGCUGCCUACCCAUAAGGAGGUAUAAGUUAGUUAAAUAGUUGUUUCUCCUCUCAUUCCAGAAAUGGCACUAAAUUUUAGUCUAAAACAGGAUUUGCUGAUCUGAGAAACUGAGUGUUUUAGAAAUGAAAAAAAAAAAAAAAAACCUCUAUCUCAAAUUGUAAUCAAUCAAAAAUGCUUUAAAUUGCUUUAGAUGAUUAUGAAUUAUCCCCACCCCCAAAAUGAAACAAGUUUGAGCAAGUCUAUGAUUAUGUAUUUAAAGAAUCUCAUAAUAUAAAACUUUCUGGUCAAAUUAUAGAACACUUUUUCAUAACCUUUCAAACCAAAGCAUAAUUGAGCAGUCUGUUUUAAAUUAUUUUAUAGUUGAUGCAUAGAAGGUUUAAGUUAUAUGACUAAUAACAGUUUCCUAUUUUACAGAUGAGGUUAAUAGCCUCUCAAGUUUGAGUGUUAUAUUAAUAUAAUUAGAACUAAUAGUCAUCUGAAUCUUAUUUAUCUCUUAUAAAGACUUAAUAGAUAUGAUUUCUUUGAAUACCUAUGACCUCCACAGAGUAAUAUAUUCUCAGGUUCAUAGGAGACUUAGAGUUAAUCUUGUUAGUAAACUUUUUGAUCUACUUUUGUCCAUCACUUGUAAAGAGGAUAUCAAGUAACUUCCAUGCAGGUAUAUCACCUAGUGGGCUGAAGUGAAGAUUGGAUGAGUACUUUCUUUCUUAUGCCAUUGCCCUAAUUAUUGGAUAAAAUCCUCAUAAAUUAAAAGGAUAGAGUACCUUCUUUAUCCACUCAAAUAGAGAAAACUGUAAAGCAAAAUAUUUUAAGAAGUGAUGUCUGGUGGCACUCAGUAGCGUCCUAUUUGCUGACUUCAUGUUUUUGCAAAAAGUUUUAUUGAAGGUAAGUAUAACAAGAUUCUUUUUCAGUAGGCCAAUUGUAUCAAAAGCUCUUUCAAUGGUUGGGACCCUGACAAAGAAAUUCACAUGUCAUAGUGCAAAGAAAUUGCUUUUACCUUUAUAAAGAUUUGUAUGUCUUCAAACAUGUAUAGCAUAAGGGUUAAGAACAUAGACUUGGAAGACAACUGCCUAAGUUUGAAUCCAAAUUCUAUUACCUUUCAGCUAUGUAAACUGCAUCAUGCAACUUAAACUCUCUCUGACUCAGAUUGUUCAUUUGUAAAAUGGAGUAGAGGUGCAAUAAUGAUAGUAUGUACUUAACGUAGAGUUAAUAUGAAAAUUGAGUAAGUCAACAUUGGUAAAGUACCUAUAAGAGUGCCUACUAUACAGUAAGUAUGAUAAAAGCAUAGGAUAAACGUGGGUGAAAAAUACACACACACACACAUAUACACGUAUAUAUCCUUAUGAUAUCCAGAUAUAGAAAAAGUUUAAUGACUUGCUUAAAGGCAAGAAUUUGGACUAUAUAGUAGUCCCUUAAGUACUAUGAGACCUAAUAAUUGUUGCUACUGCCCAUAGAAUGCCUAAGCAAUAGCCAUUAUGACACCAAAUUGGUCAAUUUUUUGCUAGGGUUUAUUAUUUUGAAACUAUGAAUACAUGAAUGCAUAAAAAGUAGUUUAAAAUUGAAUUCCUUAGCACUAUAUCUUUGAAAAAGAUAUUGUAAACUUUUUAAACAAAAAAUUAUUGUAGGAAAAGUCAAUAAAUAUGUGUUGAAUUGAAUUGAAAAAUGGGAAAGCAAACUCAGCUAUAGAUGAAACCCACCCUUCAUUAAUUGUGAAUUUGUGAAAGGCCUCGAGGGAACAGUUUGGUUAGGCAGGGAUUUAAAGAGUAUGUGGUUAUAGCAGGAUUGAAAAAAUGGGAUAAAUGAUAAACAAAAGCUUUUAAACAUAUAAGCAGUCUGCUGAGUGAGAUACAAAGGAGAAGGAUUUAGCAAUAUAUAACUCAAAGCAAAAGAUCAUUAAAGGCAGGUAGGAAAAUAAUUUACCCUAUGAAUAAAAUCAAACUGCUAAAAAGUUCCAGUUGUUUCAAAUGAAGCUGUAAAAAACAUUAUCCAAAUAACAAUAGUAAAUGAAAAUUCUCACCAAAGUAUUCAGGAGAUAAGAAAUAUCAGAUUUGCAAACUAUCCCAUUUGCUGCUUCUACAUAAGUGGAAAAAGAGAAUCUCAUAUUUCCUAAUAUUACUGCCAGAGAGUUAAAGCAUAAAGUGGUUAUAGUUAUGAAAAUAUUGGACACACUGAAAAUAGAUUGGAGAAAGUGAAUUUAUAUCAUUUAUGUCCAUAAGUUCUAAAGAAAUGAAGGUCUUGAAGUCAUAACUUAUAUUUUUAUAUAUUCUUGACAAGUCGGAAUCUGUUUCAAAUGAAAGGAAUGAAAAUUGAAUUAUUAACAUCAUUAUUCAAGAAAAGGCCAUGAAAUAUAGUAUGUAAUAAGAACAAAAGAAAACUAUUCUUUGAUCAGUCUCAGUCUCAGUUUGAAAGGUAAGGGUCAUUUUUCAUGAUGAAUGAGAUAUGCAGUGAAUUUGGAAAUAUAGACUAUUUUUACUGUAAUUGCUCUGCUAGACCAUAAGUUAUUCUGGGUAAUGGUCAUCAAGAUAAAAAUGCCUACCAUUAAGCCAAUAAUGCCAGCAUCCUAUUAAGCUACCUAAACCAUUUCCAUUUAAUUAAAAAAUAUAUAACUUUUUGUGAUCAUCUUUGAAGUGUAUUUUAAUACUAAUAUUGGAAUUUUAUUUUAUAAGAGUAGAAUGGAGGCCUGAGAGAGUAGAAAGCCUGUCUACUUUGAAUAAGACAAACUAUUAGUCCUGAAAUUUUCUAUUUGUUUGCUAGUGCAGCUUGUCUGAAUAUAUUACAACAAGUAUGCUCUACUGUGACCUCGAUUCCAACAGAUCAAAGCUGAACUUCUUACUUUAGAAUGAAUUGACAAUGGUACCAUAAUUCUGGUUUUGUAUUCCAAGGUUAUAAUUAUCUACAAAGCAUCAAGGUGAUCUUAUAAAAAGUUAAAAUUUUAGUCAAACCAAUCAAUAUUCACUUGGCUUCAUAUAGAUUCAGAAAAUUUAAUAAAUAUUAAUUCAGUCAAUCUUUUUUAAGUCUAUAGGCAGAUUAAAAUUGAGGUUUGUUUAAUGCACCCUGGAUACCCCACCUAGCAUUUGUCCUUACUUUGUCCCUAGAAGUAAUCUUUAACAGUUAUCAACUGAAAAUUUUUAUUCUGAAAAUUAUUUAUUUUUCAACUUCAUAUUAUUGGUGUACUAAAAGUAGCUUUAUUUAUACAUCUUUACACAAAUGGGGAAGUAGUUUAAGAAUAUUAUUUUUCCUAUCUAAUAUUAAACCAAGAAAGUCAAUGUAGACCCUUCAGUUGGACUCAGAAAUCUUCACUAUUUAAGUGCCUAUUAUUAAGCACACUGUAUUUAUGGGUAUUUUAACAUCAUUUUUAAAUCCAUGAAACAAUCCUAGGUCCCAUUGAUAGCCAAGGAAAAAAACAAAACAAUUAUUUUACCAAAGGUCACUCAGCAAGUAUAUGACUAAACCAAAAUUAAAAUGCCUAGAACUUUGUCAUCAAAUAUGUAUGCCUCGCUUUGCUUUGAACAACAGUAUUAAAAAAAAAAAACCCUGCAGAAUUGAAUGUUUAUAAACUGAAUCAUUUAAAUUCACCAGAAGACACCAUGUUAUGUAAAGAAAUUCCACUUUAAAUUGAAUAAUUCCUAACUGAUUCAUUUACUUAGCAAAUAAUUUUUCACUUUGCUAGUUUACUGGCUUUUGUUUAAAAAAAAAGUCUUUAUUUGACUUACCGCAGGAAGCCCCAUUUCCCAUUUCCUCUGAAGGAUAUAGUUCAUCAUUUAGCAAACAUUUAUUGAAUAACAACUAUAUCAGGCACUGAGUGCUGGGAGCAUAGGUUAUUAUCUUAAAGAGGUUUAUAAUCUAUUAAAAAGAGAAGCAUAUGUAUGGCUAACAAUUAUUUAAUUUAUGUUUAAUUUAAUUAUAUUCUAUAAUUUUAGUCUAAAGAAAGAAGCAGGCAAUUUUGCCUGGAGGAAAUGUUUGCAUAUGUGAACAGGGUCUUCAUAGAUUAGGCAUAGUUAGCAAGAAAUGGGAGUACCUUAGCAAACAAAGGAAAUGCUUAAACAAUCAGAGGUAGAAAGUAUAGAAGACUGAGGAUAAAAACUGAUUUGAUUUCUGUAUCUGUAUUAUCUAAUACAAUGCCUGGUACGUAGCAGAUCUUCCACAUAUGCCAGAUGAUGUCAACAAAAAUACUGAGACACUUAAUAAAAAGUUUGAAUGAAAAAAAAAAAA